CUUAGCCAUGCCGACCAUCUGGCUUCAACUUCACCAGGACACACCCAGCCUUUUCAGAGCUCGCUAAACGUUACCAAGACCAUCGGUCACAGUUCCGCGCCCAGUGUUUUCAUGAUGAGGGUUGAACGGUUGCUUGACGCAGGAGAGGAAGCAAAGCCUUCCUUUACACCGACGGUGGAAGAGGAAAUGAUAACGCAAAGCGUUGUGUUAGCGGGCCAGGUGGAACUGUGGUUUCCUUCUCCUCGGCCUUCCUGGAGCUGCUGCCUGUGGGACUCCCGCCGAGCUCUUCCGGAAUACUCCACAGGAAGGCGAGUCCCGAGCAAGCGGAGUCUUACUGGCCUAAAUAAACCUGUUAGGAAUGCUUUCCUACUAUUUUAUUAAGGAAGAGGCAAGUGUAAUCUUAAAAUAUAUGUCCAGAAAUAUCCAGAGGAUCUCUUAAGGAUAUACCCAGAAAUAUAAACUAAUCACAUACUUAUAUUUGUUUACCAAAAAGGAAAUGAGGAAACAGAAAUCAUUACAAAUUCAAACAAGUUCACUAUUUAACACCAUAGCCAGAACAUUUCAGCCUGAAAUGAAUGAAAGGGUCUCUUUCUAUUACUAGUUGUGAGUCGUAGAUGUCAGUAAAAUUUCUCUGUGUUUCACGUUCUCUGCAAAAGAAUCCAUCACACUUCCACGGUAGAUCUGUAUUACUGGUUUCUACCAUUACCAGUCCUUCCUAGGCCUGGCUGUGUUUCUGAUCCUUGAAAUGGAAAGAUUCCAGGGUAUGUGACCUAACCAUUCAGAGAUGACUAAUUCCUCCCAUGAAAGGAGCAGUAUAAAUAUUUUACAGAACAGAGACAAAUAUUGUUGUAUUGCUUAAUCAUUUUCUAUAAAAUAAUUAGAAAUGACAAGUGAUGCUGUUGUUAACUCUACUUGACAGGGCAUGUAACUCAUGAGAAGAAUAACUUAAUAUUUGUUAACUGCUUCCUGUGUGAAGUCUGCUUUAAGACUAUUUCAAACAAAAUUAUAUCCUAAUCAUUAAACC
Molecule: long non-coding RNA, 1024 nt
Organism: Dipodomys ordii (Ord's kangaroo rat)
Lineage: Eukaryota; Metazoa; Chordata; Mammalia; Rodentia; Heteromyidae
Exons: 2
Source: RefSeq, a predicted model, not a curated record